GGGUCAGUAGGUUGGUCGUGCCACCGGUACGUACUGGUCUCACCGAUUCCUCCUUCCUGAAUAACCGUAAUGCCAUUAAUUUGGUGUUGCGGGGAAACAGGACUGUUACUUUGAAAAAAUUAGAGUGUUUAAAGCAAGCUAACGCUUGAAUACAUUAGCAUGGAAUAAUGAAAUAGGACGAUCGAUCCUAUUUUGUUGGUUUCUAGGAUUGACGUA
Molecule: ribosomal RNA, 216 nt
Filed under: Glomeromycotina sp.
Lineage: Eukaryota; Fungi; Glomeromycota
Description: partial small subunit ribosomal RNA
Rfam family: Eukaryotic small subunit ribosomal RNA (bases 46-216)
Source: RNAcentral